RNAcentral lists this ribosomal RNA (310 nucleotides) under Acinetobacter baumannii. Its description in RNAcentral is "partial 23S ribosomal RNA". It matches the Rfam family "Bacterial large subunit ribosomal RNA", at positions 653 to 960 of the family's 2925-position model. Lineage: Bacteria; Pseudomonadati; Pseudomonadota; Gammaproteobacteria; Moraxellales; Moraxellaceae. The record is from RNAcentral.
GCCGUAUAGGGGAGCCGCAGGGAAACCGAGUCUUAACUGGGCGUUAAGUUGCAGGGUAUAGACCCGAAACCCGGUGAUCUAGCCAUGGGCAGGUUGAAGGUUGGGUAACACUAACUGGAGGACCGAACCGACUAAUGUUGAAAAAUUAGCGGAUGACUUGUGGCUGGGGGUGAAAGGCCAAUCAAACCGGGAGAUAGCUGGUUCUCCCCGAAAGCUAUUUAGGUAGCGCCUCGUGAACUCAUCUUCGGGGGUAGAGCACUGUUUCGGCUAGGGGGUCAUCCCGACUUACCAACCCGAUGCAAACUACGAA